Molecule: ribosomal RNA, 400 nt
Filed under: uncultured bacterium
Lineage: Bacteria
Description: bacterial SSU rRNA
Rfam family: Bacterial small subunit ribosomal RNA
Source: RNAcentral
UAGGGAAUAUUGGUCAAUGGUGGGAACACUGAACCAGCCAUGCCGCGUGCAGGAAGAAUGCCCUCUGGGUUGUAAACUGCUUUUGGGAAGGAAGAAAAAGAGGGAUGCGUCCCUUAUUGACGGUACUUUCAGAAUAAGCAUCGGCUAACUCCGUGCCAGCAGCCGCGGUAAUACGGAGGAUGCGAGCGUUGUCCGGAUUUAUUGGGUUUAAAGGGUGCGUAGGCGGCUUGUUAAGUCAGCGGUAAAAUACGGAAGCUUAACUUCCGACCUGCCGAUGAUACUGAUGAGCUUGAGUAUUGCUUGGGCAGAUGGAAUUUGUGGUGUAGCGGUGAAAUGCAUAGAUACCACAAGGAACACCGAUAGCGAAGGCAGUUUGCUGGGCAAUAACUGACGCUGAGGC